RNAcentral lists this ribosomal RNA (497 nucleotides) under uncultured bacterium. RNAcentral describes it as "partial 16S ribosomal RNA". It matches the Rfam family "Bacterial small subunit ribosomal RNA", at positions 28 to 507 of the family's 1533-position model. The record is from RNAcentral.
GACGAACGCUGGCGGCGUGCCUAAUACAUGCAAGUCGAACGCUGAAGCUUGGUGCUUGCACCGAGCGGAUGAGUUGCGAACGGGUGAGUAACGCGUAGGUAACCUGCCUGGUAGCGGGGGAUAACUAUUGGAAACGAUAGCUAAUACCGCAUAAGAGUAGAUGUUGCAUGACAUUUGCUUAAAAGGUGCAAUUGCAUCACUACCAGAUGGACCUGCGUUGUAUUAGCUAGUUGGUGAGGUAACGGCUCACCAAGGCAACGAUACAUAGCCGACCUGAGAGGGUGAUCGGCCACACUGGGACUGAGACACGGCCCAGACUCCUACGGGAGGCAGCAGUAGGGAAUCUUCGGCAAUGGACGGAAGUCUGAACGAGCAACGCCGCGUGAGUGAAGAAGGUUGUCGGAUCGUAAAGCUCUGUUGUAAGAGAAGAACGAGUGUGAGAGUAGAAAGUUCACACUGUGACGGUAGCUUACCAGAAAGGGACGGCUAACUACGUG